Molecule: RNase P RNA, 410 nt
Filed under: Candidimonas sp.
Lineage: Bacteria; Pseudomonadati; Pseudomonadota; Betaproteobacteria; Burkholderiales; Alcaligenaceae
Description: RNase P RNA component class A
Rfam family: Bacterial RNase P class A
About the family: Ribonuclease P (RNase P) is a ubiquitous endoribonuclease, found in archaea, bacteria and eukarya as well as chloroplasts and mitochondria. Its best characterised activity is the generation of mature 5'-ends of tRNAs by cleaving the 5'-leader elements of precursor-tRNAs.
Source: RNAcentral
GGGGCGGGCCGGGCAAUCGCGGUGCUUGCAGGCAUCGAGGAAGGUCCGGACUCCACAGAGCGCGGUAGCGGCCAACGGCCGUCCGGCGUUGCGGCGCGUGGUCGUCGCCAAGCCGAGGAACAGGGCCACAGAGACGAGUCUGCGGCGCGGGCGUGCCUGGCACGCACCGGCACGGCGACUUCCGUGCCGCGCGCCCUCCAGUGGGGGGCGCGGCAUCGCAGGGUGAAACGCGGCAACCUCUACCGGGAGCAACACCAAAUAGAUAUGCGUGGGCGUUCGCGCCCGAAGAGUGGCUCGCUCGAGCAUAUGGGUAGGUGGCUAGAGCGUACUCGCAAGAGUUCGCCCAGAUGAAUGAUUGCCCGCCGGGUGCGCCCGGCGUACAGAAUCCGGCCUACAGGCUCGCCUCAGUU